UUACGGCGACAUCACGUUGAAACACCGCUUCCCGUACGAUCACCGAAGUUAAGCAACGAGGAGUCUGGUAGGUACCUAGAUGGGUGACCGCUUGGGAAUACCAGCUGCUGUAAG
Non-coding RNA from Acanthosepion pharaonis, 114 nucleotides. The record is from the annotation of a GenBank genome assembly. NCBI's taxonomy places the organism in Eukaryota, Metazoa, Mollusca, Cephalopoda, Sepiida, Sepiidae.